AGAGUUUGAUCCUGGCUUAGAUUGAACGCUGGCGGCAGGCCUAACACAUGCAAGUCGAGCGGAUGAAGGGAGCUUGCUCCUGGAUUCAGCGGCGGACGGGUGAGUAAUGCCUAGGAAUCUGCCUGGUAGUGGGGGAUAACGUCCGGAAACGGGCGCUAAUACCGCAUACGUCCUGAGGGAGAAAGUGGGGGAUCUUCGGACCUCACGCUAUCAGAUGAGCCUAGGUCGGAUUAGCUAGUUGGUGGGGUAAAGGCCCACCAAGGCGACGAUCCGUAACUGGUCUGAGAGGAUGAUCAGUCACACUGGAACCGAGACACGGUCCAGACUCCUACGGGAGGCAGCAGUGGGGAAUAUUGGACAAUGGGCGAAAGCCUGAUCCAGCCAUGCCGCGUGUGUGAAGAAGGUCUUCGGAUUGUAAAGCACUUUAAGUUGGGAGGAAGGGCAGUAAGUUAAUACCUUGCUGUUUUGACGUUACCAACAGAAUAAGCACCGGCUAACUUCGUGCCAGCAGCCGCGGUAAUACGAAGGGUGCAAGCGUUAAUCGGAAUUACUGGGCGUAAAGCGCGCGUAGGUGGUUCAGCAAGUUGGAUGUGAAAUCCCCGGGCUCAACCUGGGAACUGCAUCCAAAACUACUGAGCUAGAGUACGGUAGAGGGUGGUGGAAUUUCCUGUGUAGCGGUGAAAUGCGUAGAUAUAGGAAGGAACACCAGUGGCGAAGGCGACCACCUGGACUGAUACUGACACUGAGGUGCGAAAGCGUGGGGAGCAAACAGGAUUAGAUACCCUGGUAGUCCACGCCGUAAACGAUGUCGACUAGCCGUUGGGAUCCUUGAGAUCUUAGUGGCGCAGCUAACGCGAUAAGUCGACCGCCUGGGGAGUACGGCCGCAAGGUUAAAACUCAAAUGAAUUGA
RNAcentral lists this ribosomal RNA (910 nucleotides) under uncultured Pseudomonas sp. RNAcentral's name for it is "bacterial SSU rRNA". It matches the Rfam family "Bacterial small subunit ribosomal RNA", at positions 8 to 913 of the family's 1533-position model. The record is from RNAcentral. Lineage: Bacteria; Pseudomonadati; Pseudomonadota; Gammaproteobacteria; Pseudomonadales; Pseudomonadaceae.